This 497-nucleotide ribosomal RNA is filed under the name uncultured bacterium. Its description in RNAcentral is "partial 16S ribosomal RNA". It matches the Rfam family "Bacterial small subunit ribosomal RNA", at positions 28 to 507 of the family's 1533-position model. The record is from RNAcentral.
GAUGAACGCUGGCGGCGUGCCUAAUACAUGCAAGUCGAGCGAACGGACGAGAAGCUUGCUUCUCUGAUGUUAGCGGCGGACGGGUGAGUAACACGUGGAUAACCUACCUAUAAGACUGGGAUAACUUCGGGAAACCGGAGCUAAUACCGGAUAAUAUUUUGAACCGCAUGGUUCAAAAGUGAAAGACGGUCUUGCUGUCACUUAUAGAUGGAUCCGCGCUGCAUUAGCUAGUUGGUAAGGUAACGGCUUACCAAGGCAACGAUGCAUAGCCGACCUGAGAGGGUGAUCAGCCACACUGGAACUGAGACACGGUCCAGACUCCUACGGGAGGCAGCAGUAGGGAAUCUUCCACAAUGGGCGAAAGCCUGACGGAGCAACGCCGCGUGAGUGAUGAAGGUCUUCGGAUCGUAAAACUCUGUUAUUAGGGAAGAACAGAUGUGUAAGUAACUGUGCACAUCUUGACGGUACCUAAUCAGAAAGCCACGGCUAACUACGUG